GCAGCAUCAAAAGAGAAAACGAUUCAUUAUUACUGUAAAAUUGUUACCUUCCCCACAAGAAAAACAAAUCCCAGAACGGAAGGUUCCUAUGUAGCCGUUUAUGGAGCAGUGACAGCGUCCUAUCAAGCGCCUGAGUUAUUGGUCUGGUCAUAAAGAAUUACAGUCGAACGAGAUCUAUCUGCAUUAGCUAUGCUGACUUGUGCUGCAGCAGCCCUGGAGGGCUGGCAAAAGCAAUGCACAGACCUCAGCGGGCUGGGAAAUUGAAUACUUGGGCAGAAUCUCAACUAUUACCCAGCAAAAGGGAUUCCAAGAGACUUGACAUAAAAUUAAAGAAGGUGCUUCUUAGCAGGACUCCCUGACACCAGACCAUUCUCCAAGAGAUGCCUUCUCACUGUGCACGCAGACACCUUCACUCAGUCUUCUUUCCAUUACUGCAGCCUCGGCACCUUGGAUAAUCAACAAUCUGUUUCACCCUCUGGCCACCACCACCAAGACUGUCUGCUAUGGUAAAACCAAAGCCUUUA
Molecule: long non-coding RNA, 524 nt
Organism: Polyodon spathula (Mississippi paddlefish)
Lineage: Eukaryota; Metazoa; Chordata; Actinopteri; Acipenseriformes; Polyodontidae
Exons: 3
Source: RefSeq, a predicted model, not a curated record